GUUGAACGCUGGCGGCAGGCCUAACACAUGCAAGUCGAACGAGUGGCGGACGGGUGAGUAAUGUCUUGGAACCUGCCCGAUCGAGGGGGCUAACUGCUAGAACCGUUAGCAAAUACCGCAUACCAUCCUAUCUGCCCAGAGGGGAUGAGCUAGUAGGGGGGGUAACGGCUCACCUAGGCGACGAUGCCUAGCUGGUCUGAGAGGAUGACCGGCCACACUGGGACUGAGACACGGCCCAGACUCCUACGGGAGGCAGCAGUGGGGAAUUUUGGACAAUGGGGGAAACCCUGAUCCAGCAACCCCGCGUGGGCGAUGAAGGCCUUCGGGUUGUAAAGCACUUUUGGCAGGAAAGCGGUACCUACAGAAUAAGCACCGGCUAACUACGUGCCAGCAGCCGCGGUAAUUC
This 406-nucleotide ribosomal RNA is filed under the name uncultured bacterium. RNAcentral's name for it is "partial 16S ribosomal RNA". It matches the Rfam family "Bacterial small subunit ribosomal RNA", at positions 28 to 526 of the family's 1533-position model. The record is from RNAcentral.